UCAACAAGCAGACACAAUUUCUAACUCGUCGGUAGUCAUCGUUCUAGCUGAAAAGGACACUAUGACACUGAAGCGAGUUGGAAAUAGUGGUUCUACUUGAGCAA
Molecule: microRNA precursor, 104 nt
Organism: Caenorhabditis elegans
Lineage: Eukaryota; Metazoa; Nematoda; Chromadorea; Rhabditida; Rhabditidae
Source: Ensembl